RNAcentral lists this long non-coding RNA (5655 nucleotides) under Ananas comosus (pineapple). RNAcentral describes it as "long non-coding RNA (ACOM_LNC029976)". The record is from RNAcentral. Lineage: Eukaryota; Viridiplantae; Streptophyta; Magnoliopsida; Poales; Bromeliaceae.
AAAAACAAAAGGGGCUCGCACUGAGCCUGCAGAGGUUAGUUCUAUAUAUACAUUAAGUUCUAUUUUACUUGAUUAAUGUUUCUCCUAAAUUAGUUCUUAAAAUUUUCAUUCCGAUGAGACCCUUUUUGUGGCGUGUAUAUAUACAAUUUGUUCGAGGGGGAUAUUAGGAGGAAAUAGCAAGUGGAAGAAGAUUUCAGAAACAGAUAAAGGUGGGAGAAUUGGGGGAAGAACCCAUUUGAUUUUAAUAUAAUUUUUUACGAUGCUACAAAUGCAAACUAAAUGAUUAUGCUAUUUUCCUCAAUGGACAUAUUGUUCUUUAGUGUGCUGAUUUUUUUGGCCAUUUUUUGAGCCUUAGUAAUUAGAGAGGUAGGUCCCAUGCAAGAUCCAGUUUGAAGUUGCUGUACAGGAUUUUUAAGUUAUGAGCAUUUUUAUCUUUCUUAAAAAGGUGCAAGAUCACGCGAUAACCUGAAAGGAUAUCGAAUUGGAGCAGUCGAAAUUGCGGGCAGUGUUCAGAAUUCAGAAUGGUGGGUGUGUUCUAGUUUUCAUUUUCAGCAGUCAGGCCUAGGUGCUAUUUCCGAGCUGCGUAUACUGUCGAGUUUGCUCUAGCCAAUUUUGAUGAUUGCAUCUCUUCUUUUGAGAUGCUGAAAUGAGAUUAAAGCUUACCGGCCGGUUUAGGAUUUCUAGAAGGGUCUGAUUCGGUUGCUGGUUUAACUUCUGAUGAAGUUGAUCUCUGCUUCAUCGCGUCGCCGUUGGUAUGGCUGCUCUAUUUGUGUCAGCUUAUUGUUUCUUUAAAAUAAUUUUCUGACGGCAUAUGCAGUAUUAUUUUUCCUUGCAACAUUCUAGCUCUUAACUAUCGCCAACUCAAUUUCAUGUGCUCUUGUCAUAUUAUUAGUAAUAUCUGAAGAUGCUGGAGAAGUGCAUGAAUCUAUGCUGUAACUGGAAUGUUAGUAGUUAUAAUUUGGAUUUAAACGUGUCGGUUGAGGUUAUCAAGUUCGUUCGAUUCAAUUUACUGAUGCUAGCAGGGUUCUAGGCUUAACAAUUUAGUUUGCUUAUUGCUUACAAGGGAACAGAAAUAAGAUCUAACAAGCAAAUUUACUGAUAUUGGAAAAAAACACAACAUAGUACUAGCUUUCAUUACAUUCUAGAUCAGAAGCAGCUAAAGGAUGCUUAAUUAACCCGACCUACUUUGCAUUUAUUCAAGACUUGAUCGUACCAUUCAUGUCUUAAUAUUGAAGCCCUCAUGAUUAUAGUUAGCUCUAACUCUGAGACAUUUCAGGCGAUAGCAGAAGUAGCACCAAAUAUCUACAGCUUGUGCUUAGUUACCGGACUAAAUUGAAAUUGUAGGAAGGUUCAGGGAGCAUGGGAACGUCAGUGGCUCCAUCGAGCAUCUGCGUUACCUUUAGCAUUGUAGGCCUCAACGAUGGCUCCUCUUGUACGCACCACAAGGCCACCGUUACGAACUUCUCCACCCUCUUCAUGUCGGCCAUGGCUUCUUCGUCGCCAUCCACCACCAAUUCCACCUUCCCUUCUCUGUAGCAGUCGUUCACCCAGUAUGUCAGUAUUGCCUUCUCCUCAUCUUCAAUCUCUGCUUCCACGUUCCUUCUGCAACAUAUGAUUUCCAGUAAAAUGACCCCAAAACUGUAGACGUCCACCUUGGAUGUGAUUCCCAAGUUCCUGAACCACUCGGGCGCAACGUACCCUCGAGUCCCUCUGAUGCCGGUGUUCGUCUGAGUUUGGUCCGUCUUAAGAAGCUUUGCCAGGCCGAAGUCCGAGAUCUUCGCGACAAAGUUUCCGUCAAGGAGUAUGUUUUGAGGCUUUAUAUCACAGUGGAUGAUCUGAGUGCUGCACUCUUCAUGCAAGUAGAGCAGGCCCCUUGCGACCCCUAGUGCUAUCUGGACUCGACGGUUCCAAUCAGGCCUCGGACCUUUGAAAAGGAAUUCCGUCAAUGAUCUGUUGCUCAUGAACUCGUAGACUAGAAGCCGCUCUUUUCCUUCAUUGCAAUACCCGAGCAGUCGGACGAGGUUCUUGUGGUGGGUCUUCCCGAUCGUCUGCAUUUCAACGGCGAACUCCUUUUCGGUCUCACGUAAGACCUUGUCAAUUUUCUUGACUGCGAUACAAGUGUCGCCUUCGCCAUGCAAGUAUCCUUUGUAUACCACACCGGAGGCCCCGCUGCCGACCUCCUCACUGAACCCGUUUGUCGCUUUCUCGAGCUCUCCGUAGGUAAAGCAGCGGAGACCAAGCCCAAUCGUGCUCGGGUCAGGACCUGGCUUCUCAUUCCUUCGCAUGUGGGAGGGGUAGAAGGAGAUGAAAAUGAUUAUGGAGAUGAGAAGAAGGUUUACAAAUGCAGAGCUCCCUAAAAGCACAGAACCCACCAAGAUCCAAGUCUUUUUAUCAUUCUUUUUGCUCAUUGUUGGUUGUAUCUGUGAAGUGUUCCCUUUGGGUACUUUGAUUAGAAGUGUUCUUUGGACGUAAUUGCCGACCUUUCCAUUGGACAUGGGGAGCUUCUUCUUCCAGCAGUCCUGAUCAUUAUACACCACAACAGCGCAAAAGCAAUCGCUCAAGCAAUUGUUCCGACAGAGGUCAUUACUGAGGGGUUGGUAAUGCUCAUAAUCUGCCAAAGGCCAAUCUACAUUUUUCAGCUCAACCAUGUCGAACAAUCCCUGAUCCGCCUCUGUCCCCUCUGCAUAACAAUUCUGCACCGGGAAAUUGGGCAUACAACCUUUAUAUUUUCGGCUCGGAUCCAGGAAGGAAUAGUGAGGCGGGCACUCGCAAUCCACGCUCUGAUUCCCGUUUAACUUGCAGAAGCUGUUGAACCCGCAGACGCCACUCCCAGUUUUCGUGAACAUCGCCUGACAGAUGUCCGGAGGUUGGAGGUCCACCACCGACCACCCUCUGUUUGUGCCGUUCUUUGGAUACACAUAUUGCCGGAGGACCCCGUCCGGAUCAAGUGUUGCUCUUUGGUAGAACAUAGACAUCGGCUUGCUCCCCGCGGAGACAACUUGGAAGUUUUUGCCGUUCGCGAGAGCCAGGUAGAUGCUGCCCGUCUCGUUGUAGACCAACUGCGUUCCGUUCCCAACGGUGCUGCUUGCCCAGUAUGGAUCGUACGAGUAUCCCGAGGGCUGCACGACGGGGUAGAACACGAGAUUUCCAUCCUGUUGGACGUUGAGAAUAAACCUCCCGGCCGAAUAGUUGGUAUCCAUUAGCCGGGCUUGGAGCACGCUACCCAGGCCGAGUACUUGGGAAGGCAACACGGUGUCAGAGGGAUGGUCAAAACUCCGCCAUGAGAAAGACCCGUCAGAGUUGGCGAGCACGAAGUUGCCUGUGUCGAGCAUGGCGGCGUAGGUGACGGUGCUACUCGUUCCGCCGGUCCAUACCUCUUGACCAGCUUGGUCCACGAGGGAGAGGUACCCGUCGGAAGUGAACUGCAGUUUGGAUCCGGACUGUACCGGCUGUACUGGCUGGGUGCCGCCGGGGUACCAAACAGUGGUCUUGUUGGGUAUCUUGUCGAACCAGAUGGCGAGGAGGAAGAGGUUGGGGUCGGUGUCGAGGGGGCGGAAGCCGAAGGCGAAGUCCCCGGAGGGGGAGGGCCAGGAGGUGGUGCCACCGACCGGGGUGAGGGUGGAGCCCAGGGUUAUAUUACUGUUGGAUUGAGCAAGCGAAUUAGGUACGAUAGGAAGCACAAGGACGAAGAGGGAGAGCAAAAGGGGAGAUGAGAUUGCCAUUGUUUCCUCUCCAGGGAUGGAUUGGGUGCAAUAAUAUUAUUAUUAUUAGAACUAGAAUUAUUGGUGGUGACAAAGUGACAAAGGGGGGACAUCACUCUGGUUGCGACCGCGACGACCUGGACUAAGGGUUGACUUGGAAUACACAUUUGUAUUUUCGUGAUUAUGUGGACAUGCGGAAGGCUGUGGUUAUUGGAUGGGUUGCGUGGUUGAACAGUUCCAUGGAAAGCGAGUGACAACUGACAACGCACAACAGUUAAUAAGUAGAAAAGGAUUUUUUUUGGGGGGGGGGGGCGAUUACAUUCGUCAUAUAGUAUGGUACAGAUUUUUAUCUUUUAUUAUGUCAUCUUUGUUGUUAACUUUUUCAUUGUGCCAAUGACCAUUCCUAACUUAAAAGAUAAAAAAUUUGAUAGUUGGUCUCUGAGAUUUCAAUUUCGAAUCCUAGUUGAUUCACAUCUUUAAUUAAGUUUAUUUUAAAAAUAAAUAAACGAAGCGGGUAACAUGCUAUCUUUCUCUUUCUCUCAAAAGAAAAGAAGAACUUUUUCAUAAUGCCACUGAUCUCUACCGCACCUGUGAGCAAGAAUGUAAUGAGAUACUAAACAACUUUCUACUGUAGUGGAGGAGGUAUUUUUAGUUAAAAUUUUGUGAUUUUUUCCUGUUUUCUCUGGAGCUUUGGCUUCUUUUGGUUGUGUAGUUCUACAUGCCAAACAAUCAUCUUCAUAAUACUUUUGAAUAUAUAUAUACUGCUUGCCAUUUGAAAUAACAAUAAGAUUAGUGAAACAAGUGAUAUUUAGCUUGGUUUGAGUAAAAUUAUAAUAAAUUGAUAUGCCGAUGGAGUUGUGAACUGUUGAGGUUGCAAGUAGUCCAUCCACAACAUGCUUUGUGCAUUGUAAUUGCCCCCUUUUUUUUGUUCUUAAUUUAUUAAAAUUUUUAUCGACUGUCUCUAACGUAAGUGGUAAAAGAUUUGGUGGUUGCUACCCGAGGUUUCAAGUUUAAAUUUUAUUUGAUUCAUAUUUUUAACUAAGUUUAUUUCUAAAAACAAUAAAUGAAGCGGGUAGCAUAUUAUCCUUUUUUCAAAAAAAAAAGGUUUAUUAAAAUUUUCUCAACAGCUUUCUAUUGUAAAUUUACAAUUAGAUAUUUUUUGCUUUGCAUUUUGGAUCCACAAGCUUAUCUCAGACUCUGAAAUAAAAAUUCUUUCGGCUAGGCUUUUUAUAUUCCAAAUGUCUAGUUAAUAACCACUUAGGAAAAGAGAUGAUUCUUUUUUCUUUUUUUUAAAAAAAAUAUAAGUCAAACCAUGGAAUCAUCUGUGCUAUGACUGGAUGACUACAAUUCCAUGUUUGUUCUUGAAACUUUAAUGGAGAUGUAGCUUGUUUCUUGGCGAAGAUGUGCAUUCUUUCUUUUCUUCUGAUAAUUUUCCUCUCUUUCAAGCCAUUCAGCUGUGAUCAAGGAUAUCUGAAAGGAUCUGAUCGGGUCACUGGUUUAACUUCUGAUGAAGUGGAUCUCUGCUAUAUUGGCGUCACGAUCGGUACGGCCGCUCAAUUUCAUUCGAUUCAAGUUACUUAUACUAGCAGGUGUCUAGGCUUAAUUAACAAUGUAUUUUGCAUGUUGCUUGCAAGGGAACAAAAAUAAGAUCUAGUGAGCAAAUUUACGGACGGUGGAAAAGAUACAAGAGAGUACUAGCUUUCAUUACAUUCAAGAGGCUUAGUUAGCCUGAUGUACUCUGCAUUUGAUUAAGACUUGAACGUACAUUUCAAUUCUUAAGAUUGAAGCCCUCGUGAUUACAACUAGCUUUUAUUCUAAGACAUUCUCAGGGCAGAAGCAGCUCUAAAUUAUCUACAGCUGGUGCCAGAAGUUAAUGAAGGCUCAGGGGGCAUGGGAACAUCCACGGCUCCUUCGAGCAUCUGCGUCACCUUUCGCAUGGUAGGCCUCAACGACG